RNAcentral lists this ribosomal RNA (432 nucleotides) under Halimeda cryptica. RNAcentral describes it as "eukaryotic LSU rRNA". The stretch from base 86 to 241 matches the Rfam family "5.8S ribosomal RNA". Lineage: Eukaryota; Viridiplantae; Chlorophyta; Ulvophyceae; Bryopsidales; Halimedaceae. The record is from RNAcentral.
UUUUCGUAGGUGAACCUGCGAAAGGAUCAUUAUCGGCACAUCCCUGUUCGAAUUCGGAGGCGGCUCGAGGUCGCCGGAGUCUCGGAAGCAUGCGUGGUGGACGGCUCGGUUCCCGCGUCGAUGAAGGACGUAGCGAGAUACGAAAGGUGUUGCGAAUUGCAAGAUUUCGCGAGUCAAUGACCAUCCGAAUGCAUCGCCGCCCUCCCUUCGCCAUCGGUGGAGGGAGGACGCGUCGGCGACAUCGCCCAGCACGCCGCUGUCCGACUCCAGGACAGGCGCCCGUGGACGGAAGCACCCGAGAGGCGUGUCCGUUUUAGCAAGCGACCGUCGCACCGCGUGCCUCCAACGGCGUGCGGGACGGACGGCGAGAGGACGCAAGCUGCGAUGUCGUCGGCGAGGAAACCCGCUGAACUUAAGCAUAUCAUUAAGCGG